AUUGAACGCUGGCGGCAUGCCUUACACAUGCAAGUCGAACGGCAGCACGGGGGGUAACCCCUGGUGGCGAGUGGCGAACGGGUGAGUAAUAUAUCGGAACGUGUCCUGUAGCGGGGGAUAACCUAUCGAAAGAUGGACUAAUACCGCAUACGACCUACGGGUGAAAGCGGAGGACCGCAAGGCUUCGCACUAUAGGAGCGGCCGAUAUCGGAUUAGCUAGUUGGCGGGGUAACGGCCCACCAAGGCGACGAUCCGUAGCUGGUCUGAGAGGACGAUCAGCCACACUGGAACUGAGACACGGUCCAGACUCCUACGGGAGGCAGCAGUGGGGAAUUUUGGACAAUGGGCGCAAGCCUGAUCCAGCCAUGCCGCGUGAGUGAAGAAGGCCUUCGGGUUGUAAAGCUCUUUCGGCGGGGACGAAACGGUUGGUGCUAAUACCACGGACUACUGACGGUACCCGCAGAAGAAGCACCGGCUAACUACGUG
Molecule: ribosomal RNA, 486 nt
Filed under: uncultured bacterium
Lineage: Bacteria
Description: partial 16S ribosomal RNA
Rfam family: Bacterial small subunit ribosomal RNA
Source: RNAcentral